This 68-nucleotide transfer RNA is filed under the name Stefania schuberti. Its description in RNAcentral is "tRNA-Val". Lineage: Eukaryota; Metazoa; Chordata; Amphibia; Anura; Hemiphractidae. The record is from RNAcentral.
CAAAACAUAGCUUAACYAAAGCAUCUCGCUUACACCGAGAAGACGCCUGAUAAACCAGGUUGUUUUGA